AGGUUCAGCCUACAGGCCAGUAUCCACAUCUCUUGCUGAAGCUACAAGGUCACGCACAAAUCCACAUGGGCUCGGUGCUUUGCACAGGUCGGAAGCUGCAGGCUCAUUCACGGAAUUGCAAACUCGUGGUAUGUCAUUUCUGGGAUAUGCAUCAUUAUGUUGCUGUCUUUCAUUGUUUCCACUUUUUUAUUUUUUUGUACAUUUAUUAGCUAUGGUCAAAUGCCUGUGGUCUGUUUUAUGUUCAGGCUCGUCAUACACACCAGUAUCCACACCCCUUGCUGGAGCUACAAGGCCACACACGGAACCACAUGUGCUUGAUGUGUCAUUUUGAUGUCGCAUUGCUAUGUUUGUUAUGGUGCUGUAGUUCUUGAUAGUUAGUUCUUUUAAUGCAAUUAGGAUUCUUUGCCUACUUCAGGCGUUUUGAGCCUAUCUAUCUAACUAUCCUCUUACGUCUUUGUUUCAGGUGGUUUAUGCAGGCCUGCUUCGACACAUGCUGAAAAUGCCAGCUUCACAGAGUUGCAACGUCUUGAUUCAUCGUACAGGCCGGUAUCCACAUAUCCGACUGGAGCUACAAGGUCACACGCAGAUCCACAAGUGCUUGCCUUCAUGGAAAGGGUCUCACAGAUACUUAAUGGUAUUAAGCAGACCCAGCAGGCCCAUUCACAAUACCUUAAUGAGCUGCUCAGCAAUGCCAACAGUGCAUCUUCACAACCUUGUGACCUCCCUGAUUUGCCUUUUUCGGAUGCGACAGACAUGCUCGAUGUUGUUUCGGAUUUGCCUUUUUCGGGAGCUUGAGACGGACAGACAAGCUCUACAUCAGAUGGCACAUUGACUAAUGACAUCAGACACCCAGAUGCCACCCUAGAGGAUCUCAAGAGGGCUGCCAUGACUUGGUUCCGCCAUGCUGCCAAGCGAUUUGCUGCUCAACAAAUAUAAUUUUUUUAAUUUCGCUAUUUUUUCACUAGUGUUUCAUCCUUUUUUGUUUUGUUUUUAAUGUUACCGUUUGCCACAUUCAGAGCCAUCAUAUUCUUAAUGUGUUGUUUCCUGUGCCUAGCUGAAAUUUUUGUUCCCUGAAACUUAAUUUCUUUACUGGUGCACACAGCUUGCACUGCCUGCUUAACUCUCUUCUAGCAGUGUAGGAUUAAGAUGUAAGAGAGCAGAACUAAGACUAAUUAAAUGCAUCAUUGGCGUAACUUGGAACACUGUUGUACAAUGUUUAAAAAGUGAACCGCAAUGUGCACAAAAGCACCUUAGCAAGUUAAUACAACUUUGAACUCUGCUCUACUAGGUGAGAGUUAAGCAGGCUGUGCACACCAGUAACGAAAUUAGGUUCCAGGAAAUCAAAAUUUCUCUUGGGCACAGGAAACAACACAGCAAAAGUUUAAAAUAAACUUUGUAUUAAUAGGUCCUGUGAGGAGAAUGUGACUUAAUUACAUGUGUGUUCAUCUUAUGGGAAGCGUGCAAUAAAAGUUAACGUUUCA
This is a non-coding RNA of Dermacentor andersoni, 1481 nucleotides long. NCBI's taxonomy places the organism in Eukaryota, Metazoa, Arthropoda, Arachnida, Ixodida, Ixodidae. The record is from RefSeq and is a predicted model, not a curated record.